RNAcentral lists this long non-coding RNA (1824 nucleotides) under Fukomys damarensis (Damara mole-rat). Its description in RNAcentral is "lncRNA (ENSFDAG00000027790.1)". Lineage: Eukaryota; Metazoa; Chordata; Mammalia; Rodentia; Bathyergidae. The record is from RNAcentral.
AAAAAAAAAAAAAAAAAAAAAAAAAUCUGCCAAGUCCUAGGGGAGAGAGGCCAGAGCAGUCCCCACCCAACAGCCCUAGGCUGAGGAUCCAACAGGCUCCUGGGAGCCUUCAGUGACAAUGACAGAGGAGGGGCAGCACAGAGCUCCACAGGCUCUUCCACAUCAGCAGGACUCAGGAGCAGGGAUAGCCCCGCACACCCGGUAGGACCUUGGACAGACACAGCCAGCCAGCAUAGAGGAAGUGGCCUGGACCCGGAGAGGGGACCAAGGGGCUCUGCUGAAGCCCCCACUCCCACCCCCACUCCUCUGCUGCCGCUCAGGGUCAGACAUCUGGUCUGAUAUCUGACUUGCUUUGUACUCUCUGGAAACUCCUUUAGUCUUUUAGAGCCUUGGUUUCCCAUCUGUGAACUAGAGGUGGCCACGGCCCCACCCUCCUGCAGUCCCUGUGGAGGAGAUAGCAUCAGCCUGUGAGCUGCCUGCUGAUGUGGACAGUGGGGGCCGUUCUGCUUUCUGUCUUUGUCACUACCUGCCCUGGGGCCUCUCCUGCUCGCCUCAGCCCAGUGUUGCCCAGGCUCCAGCUUCCCUGCUGGGCUAGCAGAGGGGAGUGCUGGGGGACACAGGACCAGCUCAGGGCACAUGUGCUGGAUUUUUCCACACGAAACACGUCUCUCAGAGAAGUAACCGGUCGGAUGAGCUGGGUGUGCGUUGUUCCCACCCCGCCUUCCAUGCCCCUCCGUGCAGUCGCCAAGAGGCUGCCCACACCAGCGGCCCGGGAUGGAGCCCAGGACGACUCAGCCAGCAGCAGCAGCCUCUGGGAUGAGCCAAGGGGCUGGCAGGGUCUGGACCACCAGCAGGGUAGGUGCCCCACCCUGCACCUGGUAGACCCCUGGUAGACCUCCACCCAAGGGAGUUCUGCGCCUUCCCAGGGGAUGCUCUGCCCCUGGCCCACACUCUCACCACAUCCUUACCCCUGAUCCUGCCCCCACUAAGGUAAAAGUCAGGGCAGUGGAUGGGGGCUCAGAGGGCUCAGGAUAAGAGCAGGGACAGGCAGAGGCCUGGGGGGCAGCACUGGCCCAGCAUCAGGAGUGAGGGCUGUGGAGCCACCCCCAUCCUUCCCAGCCUCUCCCCAGCCUUCCCCAACCCCACCCCGUCUCCUAGGGUCCUGGUGGACGCUGGGCCUGACCAGGGCACCUUCAGAGCAUGCCGCCCGCACCCCUGGCAACCCUUUCAGUUCUCCACCCCAGGACCCCCAGCUCCUGUCCCCAGCCUGGCAGGCACAGACAUGAGUCUGGGCCCCUCUGAGUCAAACCCCCGGGGCAGCCCCGCCUGCCCAAGUAGGCCUGCUCCCUGACUCAUGUGCUGGGAAUAGCCUCCCACCCCAGGCCUGGGGGGCAGCAGGCAGAGGUGCCAGAGAAGGGCCCACCUGUAGAGUUGGGGGCUGGGGGAGCUCAGGGUCUAUGGGCCUGGGAGUCUCACCAUUCCGAGGACCAGGACAAGGGCUGCCAUGGGGCCACCUUCAACACUAGCACUCAGGUCUGAGUCCUCUGUCUUCAGCCAGCCCCUUACAGUAGCUCUGGGUGCUAAUCCUACCUGGGGCUGGCCCAGCUCUUGUGGGGUCCUUGGAACCCCCAACCCUUCAGACUUUUCCCUGAAGGCUAGAUGGCAAGCCCUGGCCCCCUGGCAGGGCCCCUGCAUGUUCGUUGAGCCCAGGAAGCUGGCACCAUGGGACCCGGUGAGCCUCACAGGCUAGAAGCAAGCAGGGCUGGAGUUGUGGCCUGGACCUGAGAUGGGAGAUCAACUGGAAGCAAGAGCCUGGGGCCUGUU